This 337-nucleotide ribosomal RNA is filed under the name uncultured soil bacterium. RNAcentral describes it as "bacterial SSU rRNA". It matches the Rfam family "Bacterial small subunit ribosomal RNA", at positions 26 to 394 of the family's 1533-position model. The record is from RNAcentral.
AGAACGAACGCUGGCGGCAUGCCUAAUACAUGCAAGUCGAACGAACUCUUCGGAGUUAGUGGCGCACGGGUGCGUAACGCGUGGGAAUCUGCCCUUGGGUUCGGAAUAACAGUUGGAAACGACUGCUAAUACCGGAUGAUGACGAAAGUCCAAAGAUUUAUCGCCCAGGGAUGAGCCCGCGUAGGAUUAGCUAGUUGGUGAGGUAAAGGCUCACCAAGGCGACGAUCCUUAGCUGGUCUGAGAGGAUGAUCAGCCACACUGGGACUGAGACACGGCCCAGACUCCGUACGGGAGCAGCAGUAGGAAUAUUGGACAUGGGCGAAAGCUGAUCCAGCAA